Molecule: signal recognition particle RNA, 99 nt
Filed under: Rhodospirillaceae bacterium
Lineage: Bacteria; Pseudomonadati; Pseudomonadota; Alphaproteobacteria; Rhodospirillales; Rhodospirillaceae
Also listed under: 1 other name
Description: signal recognition particle sRNA small type
Rfam family: Bacterial small signal recognition particle RNA
About the family: The signal recognition particle (SRP) is a universally conserved ribonucleoprotein involved in the co-translational targeting of proteins to membranes. Archaeal SRP consists of a 7S RNA and homologues of the eukaryotic SRP19 and SRP54 proteins.
Source: RNAcentral
UCCGGAAGACUGGCGGGCAUAUCUAUCGCCAAUCCGGCCAGGGCCGAGAGGCAGCAACCGUAACGAAUUCUGAUAUGGGUCGUUCAGUCUUCCACCUCC